RNAcentral lists this ribosomal RNA (1921 nucleotides) under Escherichia coli. RNAcentral describes it as "partial 23S ribosomal RNA". It matches the Rfam family "Bacterial large subunit ribosomal RNA", at positions 942 to 2841 of the family's 2925-position model. Lineage: Bacteria; Pseudomonadati; Pseudomonadota; Gammaproteobacteria; Enterobacterales; Enterobacteriaceae. RNAcentral also lists the same sequence under 1 other name. The record is from RNAcentral.
ACCCGAUGCAAACUGCGAAUACCGGAGAAUGUUAUCACGGGAGACACACGGCGGGUGCUAACGUCCGUCGUGAAGAGGGAAACAACCCAGACCGCCAGCUAAGGUCCCAAAGUCAUGGUUAAGUGGGAAACGAUGUGGGAAGGCCCAGACAGCCAGGAUGUUGGCUUAGAAGCAGCCAUCAUUUAAAGAAAGCGUAAUAGCUCACUGGUCGAGUCGGCCUGCGCGGAAGAUGUAACGGGGCUAAACCAUGCACCGAAGCUGCGGCAGCGACGCUUAUGCGUUGUUGGGUAGGGGAGCGUUCUGUAAGCCUGCGAAGGUGUGCUGUGAGGCAUGCUGGAGGUAUCAGAAGUGCGAAUGCUGACAUAAGUAACGAUAAAGCGGGUGAAAAGCCCGCUCGCCGGAAGACCAAGGGUUCCUGUCCAACGUUAAUCGGGGCAGGGUGAGUCGACCCCUAAGGCGAGGCCGAAAGGCGUAGUCGAUGGGAAACAGGUUAAUAUUCCUGUACUUGGUGUUACUGCGAAGGGGGGACGGAGAAGGCUAUGUUGGCCGGGCGACGGUUGUCCCGGUUUAAGCGUGUAGGCUGGUUUUCCAGGCAAAUCCGGAAAAUCAAGGCUGAGGCGUGAUGACGAGGCACUACGGUGCUGAAGCAACAAAUGCCCUGCUUCCAGGAAAAGCCUCUAAGCAUCAGGUAACAUCAAAUCGUACCCCAAACCGACACAGGUGGUCAGGUAGAGAAUACCAAGGCGCUUGAGAGAACUCGGGUGAAGGAACUAGGCAAAAUGGUGCCGUAACUUCGGGAGAAGGCACGCUGAUAUGUAGGUGAAGUCCCUUGCGGAUGGAGCUGAAAUCAGUCGAAGAUACCAGCUGGCUGCAACUGUUUAUUAAAAACACAGCACUGUGCAAACACGAAAGUGGACGUAUACGGUGUGACGCCUGCCCGGUGCCGGAAGGUUAAUUGAUGGGGUCAGCGCAAGCGAAGCUCUUGAUCGAAGCCCCGGUAAACGGCGGCCGUAACUAUAACGGUCCUAAGGUAGCGAAAUUCCUUGUCGGGUAAGUUCCGACCUGCACGAAUGGCGUAAUGAUGGCCAGGCUGUCUCCACCCGAGACUCAGUGAAAUUGAACUCGCUGUGAAGAUGCAGUGUACCCGCGGCAAGACGGAAAGACCCCGUGAACCUUUACUAUAGCUUGACACUGAACAUUGAGCCUUGAUGUGUAGGAUAGGUGGGAGGCUUUGAAGUGUGGACGCCAGUCUGCAUGGAGCCGGCCUUGAAAUACCACCCUUUAAUGUUUGAUGUUCUAACGUGGACCCGUGAUCCGGGUUGCGGACAGUGUCUGGUGGGUAGUUUGACUGGGGCGGUCUCCUCCUAAAGAGUAACGGAGGAGCACGAAGGUUGGCUAAUCCUGGUCGGACAUCAGGAGGUUAGUGCAAUGGCAUAAGCCAGCUUGACUGCGAGCGUGACGGCGCGAGCAGGUGCGAAAGCAGGUCAUAGUGAUCCGGUGGUUCUGAAUGGAAGGGCCAUCGCUCAACGGAUAAAAGGUACUCCGGGGAUAACAGGCUGAUACCGCCCAAGAGUUCAUAUCGACGGCGGUGUUUGGCACCUCGAUGUCGGCUCAUCACAUCCUGGGGCUGAAGUAGGUCCCAAGGGUAUGGCUGUUCGCCAUUUAAAGUGGUACGCGAGCUGGGUUUAGAACGUCGUGAGACAGUUCGGUCCCUAUCUGCCGUGGGCGCUGGAGAACUGAGGGGGGCUGCUCCUAGUACGAGAGGACCGGAGUGGACGCAUCACUGGUGUUCGGGUUGUCAUGCCAAUGGCACUGCCCGGUAGCUAAAUGCGGAAGAGAUAAGUGCUGAAAGCAUCUAAGCACGAAACUUGCCCCGAGAUGAGUUCUCCCUGACCCUUUAAGGGUCCUGAAGGAACGUUGA